UCGUGGAAGACGGCACAAGUUCUCACCCUCCGAAAGGGUCAGAUGACUGCUUGAGGUUAAGUUCUUCCUCCGUAUCCACAGACAUACACGAGUGGUUAUUGGAGAGCCACAGGUUGGGCCCAUCGUUUCACGGUACUCGCGUUGGUUUUCCGAGUCUCUUUUUCUUCGAUCAAUUCCUCCUCCCACGCCGUCUUCUUCUCGGCUACCAUCCUCCCAACUACGACCAUCGACGGUUGACUUCCUGCAGCAAGUGGGCUGCUCUCUCUCUCGCUCUCUUUAUAUAGAUAGAUGGAUUCGUUUCCGCUCUCUUCUCAAGCAUCUCUGGGACGGCAGGAGGAGAGAGAAGGAAGAUGAUGAACUGGGUGAGCCGAAAGGUGCAUCUGUACAACGUGACCAUGGGUCUGUACAUGCUCGACUGGUGGGAGCGCUGCCUCUUCAAUAUAUUGAUCCUUACUUUGCUGUGGUUCAUCUGCCACAACGGAUCUCGAUUGGCCACGGACUUGUUCGAUGGCCAUCUCAAGUCUAAACUUGUGUUUAGCAGCAGCUUCCCAACAGGAGGGAGCACAAGAAUGUAACAG
Molecule: long non-coding RNA, 578 nt
Organism: Musa acuminata AAA Group (dessert banana)
Lineage: Eukaryota; Viridiplantae; Streptophyta; Magnoliopsida; Zingiberales; Musaceae
Exons: 3
Source: RefSeq, a predicted model, not a curated record